CGCAUGCCUAUAAUCCCAGCGACUCAGGAGGCCAAGGAAAGAAGAUCGAAAGUUCAAGGCCAGCCUCAGCAACUUGGUGAGGCCCUGAGUAACUUAGUGGGCUCUAUCUCAAAGUAAAAAAAUAAAAAGGGCUGGGGAUGUGACUCAGCUGUUAAGCACCCCUGGGUUCAGUCCCUGGUACCAAAAAAAAAUUUUUUUUUAAUUUCAGAGGAAAUGGAAAUACAUUUUUAAACAUCAGUUUCAUUUCUGGCAGACUCGGGGCUCAACAUCAGUGGAGUUCAUCAGCCCAGAGAUGACCUGUGGCAUGAAAAUCCCAUCCCAUGCCAACACUCAAACCAUGAGCCACUUGUUAGAAAUUUGAAACAGCAAGUACAUUGCAGAGAAAAUUCUAGAAAUUGCAUACCUCCAUUUACUAACGAGCUGCCAUCUCCUCAAAAGACCUCAAUAUUUUGUCCUCAGCGCUGACUCGAACUGACGGUCUGAUUACAAGGAUUUGGAAGAAAGUUACUUUUUCCAUACAACUGAGUCCAAGAUUGACUCACAUCUCCAAGAGAAGGAGAUUGUUCCUGACCAGCCAAGCUCAGGCUCCCAAAACACAAAGUGGUGAUGUUUCCAAAGGGACCCUGCUGGGGCUGCAGAGCUGGGCCUGGGGCUGCAGAGCAACAGGUGGUCUUUAAAGUUGAUUUCGGGACUUGGAUGGGGCCUCUGUGUCCCCAAGCGAGUCCUUGAUACGGCUAAACCUCAGUUUCCUGAUCUGUAAAUUGGGAAUAAUGAGAGUACCUGCUUCAUUGUUUGAUCUGGGAGAAUUAAAUGAGAUGACACUUAGCAAUUAAAUCCCAGGAAGAGGGCUGGGGAUGUGGCUCAAGCGGUAGCGCGCUCGCCUGGCAUGCGUGCGGCCUGGGUUCGAUCCUCAGCACCACAUACAAACAAAGGUGUUGUGUCCGCCGAGAACUAAAAAAUAAAUAUUAAAA
This 971-nucleotide long non-coding RNA is filed under the name Marmota monax (woodchuck). Lineage: Eukaryota; Metazoa; Chordata; Mammalia; Rodentia; Sciuridae. The record is from RNAcentral.